This 1080-nucleotide ribosomal RNA is filed under the name Pseudoalteromonas sp. H11. Its description in RNAcentral is "bacterial SSU rRNA". It matches the Rfam family "Bacterial small subunit ribosomal RNA", at positions 29 to 1104 of the family's 1533-position model. The record is from RNAcentral. Lineage: Bacteria; Pseudomonadati; Pseudomonadota; Gammaproteobacteria; Alteromonadales; Pseudoalteromonadaceae.
UUGAACGCUGGCGGCAGGCCUAACACAUGCAAGUCGAGCGGUAACAGAAAGUAGCUUGCUACUUUGCUGACGAGCGGCGGACGGGUGAGUAAUGCUUGGGAACAUGCCUUGAGGUGGGGGACAACAGUUGGAAACGACUGCUAAUACCGCAUAAUGUCUACGGACCAAAGGGGGCUUCGGCUCUCGCCUUUAGAUUGGCCCCAAGUGGGAUUAGCUAGUUGGUGAGGUAAUGGCUCACCAAGGCGACGAUCCCUAGCUGGUUUGAGAGGAUGAUCAGCCACACUGGGACUGAGACACGGCCCAGACUCCUACGGGAGGCAGCAGUGGGGAAUAUUGCACAAUGGGCGCAAGCCUGNAUGCAGCCAUGCCGCGUGUGUGAAGAAGGCCUUCGGGUUGUAAAGCACUUUCAGUCAGGAGGAAAGGUUAGUAGUUAAUACCUGCUAGCUGUGACGUUACUGACAGAAGAAGCACCGGCUAACUCCGUGCCAGCAGCCGCGGUAAUACGGAGGGUGCGAGCGUUAAUCGGAAUUACUGGGCGUAAAGCGUACGCAGGCGGUUUGUUAAGCGAGAUGUGAAAGCCCCGGGCUCAACCUGGGAACUGCAUUUCGAACUGGCAAACUAGAGUGUGAUAGAGGGUGGUAGAAUUUCAGGUGUAGCGGUGAAAUGCGUAGAGAUCUGAAGGAAUACCGAUGGCGAAGGCAGCCACCUGGGUCAACACUGACGCUCAUGUACGAAAGCGUGGGGAGCAAACGGGAUUAGAUACCCCGGUAGUCCACGCCGUAAACGAUGUCUACUAGAAGCUCGGAGCCUCGGUUCUGUUUUUCAAAGCUAACGCAUUAAGUAGACCGCCUGGGGAGUACGGCCGCAAGGUUAAAACUCAAAUGAAUUGACGGGGGCCCGCACAAGCGGUGGAGCAUGUGGUUUAAUUCGAUGCAACGCGAAGAACCUUACCUACACUUGACAUACAGAGAACUUACCAGAGAUGGUUUGGUGCUUCGGGAACUCUGAUACAGGUGCUGCAUGGCUGUCGUCAGCUCGUGUUGUGAGAUGUUGGGUUAAGUCCCGCAACGAGCGCAACCC